UAUGUAUACCUAUGGGCUCGGUGGCACGACAGCCAUGACAACAGCCGCUUACCUGCAACGCCUUUUCGUUCUGCAGGUUCUGCUCUGGUGUAGCCCUCGACCACGCGACAACGGAUGCGCUGGCGACAUCCCGGAGGUCUCUUGGCUCCCGGCUUGGCCAGACGCAGCAAAUGACCUUGAUUUGCCACACUGGACGAAGCGCACCCCACCGACACCACGAGAGACUGCUACAUCACCACCCGAAGAUCCGUUUCACGAGCCACCACCUUGGCUCUUACAACUGCGCCCCCUGGUUCUACCGUUAUCAAGCCACCAGAUAACGUCGCCUUUUACCCAGGACUAUAUAAGUGUGACACCGUGCAGCGCGGCAUUCUAUGGGCUCGGUGGCACGACAGCCAUGACAACAGCCGCUUACCUGCGACGCCUUUUCGUUCUGCAGCAAUCAUUGUCAUCAGGAGUGGUGCCGGAAGACUGGAGAGUAGGCAAGAUUGUUCCAGUCCCCAAAAAAGCUAUACUACCAGCUCAUCGUCAGUCCAGCCGCA
This is a non-coding RNA of Dermacentor albipictus, 542 nucleotides long. The record is from RefSeq and is a predicted model, not a curated record. Lineage: Eukaryota; Metazoa; Arthropoda; Arachnida; Ixodida; Ixodidae.